This 406-nucleotide ribosomal RNA is filed under the name uncultured bacterium. RNAcentral's name for it is "bacterial SSU rRNA". It matches the Rfam family "Bacterial small subunit ribosomal RNA", at positions 354 to 777 of the family's 1533-position model. The record is from RNAcentral.
GUGGGGAAUAUUGCACAAUGGGGGGAACCCUGAUGCAGCAAUGCCGCGUGGGUGAAGAAGCACUCCGGUGCGUAAAGCCCUGUCAGCAGGGAAGAAAAUGACAGUACCUGACUAAGAAGCCCCGGCUAACUACGUGCCAGCAGCCGCGGUAAUACGUAGGGGGCAAGCGUUAUCCGGAUUUACUGGGUGUAAAGGGAGCGCAGGCGGUAUGGCAAGUCAGAUGUGAAAACCCAGGGCCCAACCCUGGGACUGCAUUUGAAACUGCCAUACUGGAGUGCCGGAGAGGUAAGCGGAAUUCCUAGUGUAGCGGUGAAAUGCGUAGAUAUUAGGAAGAACACCAGUGGCGGAGGCGGCUUACUGGACGGUAACUGACGCUGAGGCUCGAAAGCGUGGGGAGCAAACAGGA